UUCACAAGAUGUUCGGCCUUCUCACGUAUUGUGUCAUUAAAAAUCAACGUCCCAUCCUCUUGGCUCAGAGAGCCUCCAUGAGCGUAGUACCAAUUUUUUGAUCGUUCAGGCCAUUCAAUAGUUGCAGGUACGAUUCCCCAUUCGAUCAAAUCUUGUUCCAUCUUCCUCCACUUGGGAAUUGCUGAGCCAUACCCACCUCGCCC
This 203-nucleotide long non-coding RNA is filed under the name Setaria viridis. RNAcentral describes it as "long non-coding RNA (SVIR_LNC006594)". Lineage: Eukaryota; Viridiplantae; Streptophyta; Magnoliopsida; Poales; Poaceae. The record is from RNAcentral.